Molecule: long non-coding RNA, 669 nt
Organism: Pan troglodytes (chimpanzee)
Lineage: Eukaryota; Metazoa; Chordata; Mammalia; Primates; Hominidae
Exons: 3
Source: RefSeq, a predicted model, not a curated record
GUUUUGUACAUAUAUGGUCAUGAUUUGGAGACUUAUGAGGAAGGCCAAAGUGGAUUGGGUGUGGUCUCGGUGUAGCACGAUGGAAUCUGGUGGCUUAAACCUAGCUGUCCACAUUUCACUAUCUGAAGAGCAGAAAAUGUGUUAAUAGGAGCCUGGUGAGUGGAGGAGACUGAAGAUGGAGAGAGAGCCUGGACCUCAACAUGAGCAUUUGGAGCCAUUUGGCAGCAUUAGGCUGUGACCGCUUAGAGAACCGAAAGGUGCAGAGCUUUAAAGGAUUAUGGAGUCUGAAGACCAAAUGGGAUGAUGGAGAACAGCUAUUCAGUGGUACAAAUGUAAAUGCUCCCAGGCCCGGGCAGAAAAGAGAAAACAUUUCCAUGGAAGAGGAAACAGGAAAUUCCAACAGAUCAGCAACAGUUGGAGUGCUAACCUGUCACUGGAAUGAAAAAAAAUGCUGUCGUUGACACAUCUUUUCCUUGUUUUUGACACAAAUUAGGUAACUCACUGACUUACUGUCUCUUCACAAAAUUGGUGGGGGUGUGAAAAAUGUCUAUGCAGUAUAUAAAGAUAUUCAUAACAAAGACUUAUGCUACGAAAAAUGUCCUUUGUUCACAAUAGAAAGAAUAACUCAUGCUUUACAUAAUUUGCACAUAUAUAUUUUGUUGUUGUAAA